RNAcentral lists this ribosomal RNA (495 nucleotides) under uncultured bacterium. RNAcentral describes it as "partial 16S ribosomal RNA". It matches the Rfam family "Bacterial small subunit ribosomal RNA", at positions 28 to 507 of the family's 1533-position model. The record is from RNAcentral.
GACGAACGCUGGCGGCGUGCCUAAUACAUGCAAGUAGAACGCUGAAGGAGGAGCUUGCUCUUCUGGAUGAGUUGCGAACGGGUGAGUAACGCGUAGGUAACCUGCCUGGUAGCGGGGGAUAACUAUUGGAAACGAUAGCUAAUACCGCAUAACAGUAGAUGUUGCAUGACAUUUGCUUAAAAGGUGCAAUUGCAUCACUACCAGAUGGACCUGCGUUGUAUUAGCUAGUUGGUGGGGUAACGGCUCACCAAGGCGACGAUACAUAGCCGACCUGGGAGGGUGAUCGGCCACACUGGGACUGAGACACGGCCCAGACUACUACGGGAGGCAGCAGUAGGGAAUCUGCGGCAAUGGACGGAAGUCUGACCGAGCAACGCCGCGUGAGUGAAGAAGGUUUUCGGAUCGUAAAGCUCUGUUGUAAGAGAAGAACGAGUGUGAGAGUGGAAAGUUCACACUGUGACGGUAUCUUACCAGAAAGGGACGGCUAACUACGUG